Molecule: long non-coding RNA, 1063 nt
Filed under: Setaria italica (foxtail millet)
Lineage: Eukaryota; Viridiplantae; Streptophyta; Magnoliopsida; Poales; Poaceae
Description: long non-coding RNA (SITA_LNC004385)
Source: RNAcentral
UUGUUGCCGUCCAUUAGCUUCCCCGGCAAAGCAAGAGCCCCGCCGCCCGCCGACGCCGAGCCACCCACCACCCAGCGGCAUCUCCCCGCUUGCUUCCUUCGCCUCCACUCUACUCCAAGAACCCAGCGGCGGAGAUCGGUGGAGGUCGUCAUCACCAGAGCAACCGGCCGUAGAUGCGAGCGGGCGCGCUCCUGCUCCUCCACCGCCACCUCCACGACAGCGCCAUGGACGGCUACGGCCACACCGGCGGCGGCUCCAAGGCCGCGGAUUUCUCCUCCGCGAGGGGUCCCGCGGGGUUCCCGCCGCCUUUGCCGCCGGAGAAGCGGCGCGGGGCGGCGCUGGCGAGGCGCGGGAGCGUCGGGGCCGCCAGCGGCCCGGCGGGCAUCGGGGGAAGCUACCUGGGCGCGGAGGCGGCGGCGCUGCUGGCGUGCGUGACGGCCACGCUGCUGGUGCUGCCGCUGCUGCUGCCCCCGCUCCCGCCGCCGCCGCCGCUCUUCCUGCUCGUGCCCGUCGCCAUCUUCGCCGUCCUGGUCCUGCUCGUGCUCGUCCCCUCCGACGCCAGGGGCGCCGCCAGCACCGCUACGCCCUACUCCUCCUCCUAUAGUUAGCUACCUUAUUAGAUUGGGCGCCCGGCCUUGUCGUCAUGUAAAUGUAAUUAAACGCGGACUCGGUGUGCUCGUCUUGUUCUUCAGAGAUCAAUCCAUGGAGAGGCUUUUGUUUUGCUCGAUUCGAUCAGUCCCGAUUUCGUCGAUGGUUCUUCCCUCUCUGCAUUUGCUUCUGCAAGUACGACGGUGACAAACUGACAACCGUCGAAUUGACUUCAUUCUUGCAAAGUUGCAAUCCAGAAUUCGACCCGGACAUCGAUUCAGAUUUGGAUCCUGAACUCGUAGAGAUCUCUGAUGAUUCCGCCUCCGAGUCCGAGAGCUCUGCAUCAUUGAACUUAGAUGCAGAGCACAGCGACGAUCGAGUGGCAGCUCACGUGCCAGCAGCCAGAUGGGCCAGGGUGAUGUGGGGGCAGAUUCAGUUUCAACUAUCAACUUCCAAGGGAGUCAGAAACUCGUAC